AGCGUAGACGGUGUGGCAAGUCUGAUGUGAAAGGCAUGGGCUCAACCUGUGGACUGCAUUGGAAACUGUCAUGCUUGAGUGCCGGAGGGGUAAGCGGAAUUCCUAGUGUAGCGGUGAAAUGCGUAGAUAUUAGGAGGAACACCAGUGGCGAAGGCGGAUUGCUGGACGACAACUGACGGUGAGGCGCGAAAGCGUGGGAGCGAACA
Molecule: ribosomal RNA, 206 nt
Filed under: uncultured bacterium
Lineage: Bacteria
Description: partial 16S ribosomal RNA
Rfam family: Bacterial small subunit ribosomal RNA
Source: RNAcentral